GGGUGAGGUUCAAGUUGACAGAGAAAUGGAGGAGACUGUGGGUGAGGUUGAGGUUGAUGUUGAUGGUGAACAAGUCCAGUGUGAGGGAGUCAAUGAGGGUGAAGUACAUCAUACACAUGAGGCUGAAGUACAUGAUGUAGUUGAUUUUGAGCUACAUGAUGUACAUGAAGAUGANGAUGAGGAUGNGGUUGGAGAAGAUGNUGAUGAUCAUGGUGGAGAAGAUGCUGGUGAUGAAUCUAUUAGUGAAGAAAGUGAUGGUCUAGUAGAUGUCAGGGUUGACUGUGACAUGGGAAGUUUUAAAGG
This 303-nucleotide long non-coding RNA is filed under the name Vigna radiata. RNAcentral's name for it is "long non-coding RNA (VRAD_LNC007904)". The record is from RNAcentral. Lineage: Eukaryota; Viridiplantae; Streptophyta; Magnoliopsida; Fabales; Fabaceae.